Long non-coding RNA from Podarcis raffonei (Aeolian wall lizard), 1107 nucleotides. RefSeq lists it as uncharacterized. The record is from RefSeq and is a predicted model, not a curated record. NCBI's taxonomy places the organism in Eukaryota, Metazoa, Chordata, Lepidosauria, Squamata, Lacertidae. The transcript has 2 exons.
UUAGUCACUGCCAUGAUCUCAGAGGCCCUGAAAGCUUCUAAUACAACAGUGCUAAGGGAAAGUGUUGCAUCUUGUUGUCAUGUCUUGAACCCGAUUCCCAAGGAAUUCUGCAGGCGAGAUCCAGGGCAGCCCAGAGGACAGUGCAGGAAUCUUAGGCAUGGGUUUGGAUCCUCAGUUCAGCUGAAGACAGUUAGAUAUAUCACCUCAGCAGAAGCUACCACGUAGUUAGAGGCGCUGAACCUUUAACACUCCAGAACAACUGUGUAGCAGACAGCGAUCAACCAUUUAUUCACUGCCUCUCUAUGCCUAUGAAAGCUUUACCUGUUGAUUUUUGCUUAUUACGCAACUGCUCACAGGACCAGCCUUCAUGAACAACGUGGCACGUUUAGUUUUGGCUUCUCUCCCCUCCACCCUCAAAUAACCUCACAGAAAGGCUGUGGUUCUUAAGUCUCAGUUGAGAACGCAAGACCCGUCGGAUCAGGUGAGUGGCCCUUCGAGUGCAGUAUCCUGUUCUCACAGCAGCAAACCAGAAGGCCAAGGGAAGCAACCACACCUGCACUUCCCAGAGACUGGUAUUCAGAGGGGUUGAACAUAGCCAGCACAGCAACUAGCCAUUGACCACCUUGGCUUCCAGUCUCUUAGUGCAGCUCCUCCAGCAAGCGCCAAAAUGGUUCUCCAAUCCAGGCCCCACAUGGCGUUCUGGCCGGCCCAGCAGCUCACAGGCCUUUGUUCUCUUACUUCUUCUCAGCACCCAUCUGCCCCCAAACCUCCUGUAAAAUACACUUUUCCCUGUCCUCUCACUCUUCCCGGUCACCUUGGCAACCACUAUCUGCCCAGGCCUAAGGAUUCCUCUCUGAUGUGGGCCAGUAACAAGGUGAAAUUUUUGUGCAGCCGUACUUAUCGAUUGUCCACAUCUGAUGAAAUGGGAGAAGCUGCUCCAAAGGAGAACAAUGUACAAAUACAAUACAAGAAAUCUGUAUGGUUGCCUAUUGCUCUCAUCAAUUGCACUGAGAGCUGAAGCCGACGAAGGCUAAACAGGCUGAUCUAUGCCAUUUUGAGUAAUCUGAUUAUAACAUACAGGAAUACAAAUAAAUAGCCUAGAUCUAA